UACGUAGGGUGCGAGCGUUAAUCGGAAUUACUGGGCGUAAAGCGUGCGCAGGCGGCUUCGCAAGUCAGACGUGAAAUCCCCGGGCUUAACCUGGGAAUGGCGUUUGAAACUACGGAGCUGGAGUGUGGCAGAGGGAGGUAGAAUUCCACGUGUAGCGGUGAAAUGCGUAGAUAUGUGGAGGAAUACCGAUGGCGAAGGCAGCCUCCUGGGCCAACACUGGCGCUCAUGCACGAAAGCGUGGGGAGCAAACAGG
This 253-nucleotide ribosomal RNA is filed under the name uncultured bacterium. Its description in RNAcentral is "partial 16S ribosomal RNA". It matches the Rfam family "Bacterial small subunit ribosomal RNA", at positions 524 to 776 of the family's 1533-position model. The record is from RNAcentral.